RNAcentral lists this ribosomal RNA (253 nucleotides) under uncultured bacterium. RNAcentral's name for it is "partial 16S ribosomal RNA". It matches the Rfam family "Bacterial small subunit ribosomal RNA", at positions 524 to 776 of the family's 1533-position model. The record is from RNAcentral.
UACGUAGGGGGCAAGCGUUGUCCGGAAUCAUUGGGCGUAAAGAGCGCGUAGGCGGCCCGAUAAGUCCGCUGUGAAAGUCAAGGGCUCAACCCUUGAAUGCCGGUGGAUACUGUCGGGCUAGAGUCCGGAAGAGGCGAGUGGAAUUCCUGGUGUAGCGGUGAAGUGCGCAGAUAUCAGGAGGAACACCAAUGGCGAAGGCAGCUCGCUGGGACGGUACUGACGCUGAGGCGCGAAAGCGUGGGGAGCAAACAGG